AGGAAGAAGAGGAAGAGCACCCCCACACCCCACCCGCGUGAAGAAGAGCAACCCCACUCCCCGCCCGUGGGAAGAAGAGCACCCUCACGCCGGGCCCGCAGGAAGAAGAGCACCCCCACGCCCGGCCCGCAGCAUCCCGCUGGCUUCCUGGCCACCUCUCCUCACCCAUCUUAGAGGCAUGGCCGGGCUGGGGCAUCUUUCCCUCCUUGGGCAGGAUGAAACAGGCGCCUAUUUAAUCGACAGAGACCCCACCUACUUUGGGCCUGUGCUGAACUACCUGAGACACGGCAAGCUGGUGAUUAACAAAGACCUCGCGGAGGAAGAUGAUACCACGAGUCAACCCAAAAGUUGCUGGGGAGAAGUUGCUCUUUAAUGAAUUGCAUCUCAUGAAUGUAUCAGGCUGUGACCUUUCUGCACUCUCUAAUGAGUUCAUGAAUUUAGGCCAAUUAUGGCCACAAAUGCUGCUGCUGUCACAGAGAGAUGCCGGAUAAAGAACACCCACCACCAGUCUCUGAACAGGGAGGGGAGAAUCAACUCUGAAUGUGAUGUAGUGGCCAGGAGAGAGGACCAUGUUCAACAACGCCACACAGAUGCAAAUGACUUGUUUCUU
Molecule: long non-coding RNA, 610 nt
Filed under: Homo sapiens (human)
Lineage: Eukaryota; Metazoa; Chordata; Mammalia; Primates; Hominidae
Description: non-protein coding lnc-PDPK1-2:4
Source: RNAcentral